Helianthus annuus (common sunflower) is the source of this 817-nucleotide long non-coding RNA. RefSeq lists it as uncharacterized. NCBI's taxonomy places the organism in Eukaryota, Viridiplantae, Streptophyta, Magnoliopsida, Asterales, Asteraceae. The transcript is spliced from 4 exons. The record is from RefSeq and is a predicted model, not a curated record.
UCUCAGCAGGGGAGGAGCUUAAAGGAGGCCAGACCGGGCCUCGGCCCGUGCGGUUUUUUCGCCUAGUAGUGUUAAAUUUCAGGUUUUUGAGAAUUUUUUUAAAUGUGUAUUGGUUCGGCCCAGGCUGAUUUUAUCUCCAAAAAACAUCGGCCCAUGCUGAGUUUUAGGUCAAGAUCCGCCACUGGAUCUCAGGCACCACUUUCCUCUUCCGGCUCUCCAUUUUGCUCUAAAAAAUUAACACACAACACCAAAUAACAAUCACUACCAGUUGUUGAAUGUGUUUGUCGCUCGUCGUCGUGCUCACUGCUUAAUUCAGGAUCAUGCCUUCUAAAAAUUGUGGUCGCCAUGCUUGCCGAUUAAUUCAGGUUUAGGAACAAAGUGCUGGAUGAAAUAGGUUACAAUCAGGAGACUUUAGAGGGAGAGAGAGAACUGGAGUUAACAGUGCCAAUGCGGGCAUCAUUGCCCAACAGGGUGUCCCACCCCACCUCUGGAAUCUGGAUGUUAGAAUAAAGUGGCCAAAUGAUCUUUACUUAAAGUGGGAGGAAUUUUGUGUACAUCAACAUAUAGAUAUCUAACAAGUUUAAUGUCAGUGCUGGUAAACUUCUCGCUCCUAACUGAUAGUGUGAGCAACAGUUAACGACUCAAGUGCACUUUAUUCCGCUUUCCAUAGUGCGAGUCAUUUGGGUAAACUAACUGCUUUAGAGAUAUGGGUACAUCUGUUAUAAACUGUGACAAGAAAAUAUUCCGUUUAGCAAAAUGUGAUCUCUUACAAGUAGAUGAUCAUGAUUCUGGCUGAAAAGCCAAUUAGACAACAGUA